CCUCCAAGAUACAAUUCACUUGCUCAUACCCUAGACAAAUGAACAGAACUGGUGUCAGUAUUCUGUGCUCCUGAGACA
This 78-nucleotide long non-coding RNA is filed under the name Sus scrofa (pig). RNAcentral's name for it is "lncRNA (ENSSSCG00045011290.1, ENSSSCG00065042394.1)". The record is from RNAcentral. Lineage: Eukaryota; Metazoa; Chordata; Mammalia; Artiodactyla; Suidae.